AAGACUUUAAGUUAAAUAAACUAAUAGCCUUCAAAGUUAUAAAUAUUAGUAAUAAAUCUAUUAAGCCUUA
This 70-nucleotide transfer RNA is filed under the name Dicranomyia modesta. Its description in RNAcentral is "tRNA-Trp". It matches the Rfam family "tRNA". Rfam says of the family: Transfer RNA (tRNA) molecules are approximately 80 nucleotides in length. The record is from RNAcentral. Lineage: Eukaryota; Metazoa; Arthropoda; Insecta; Diptera; Limoniidae.